GAGGGCGUUUUCGCCCCACGAGAACAGUUGUGAACCGCGAACCGUAAUAUCCCAACGCGGUCGGGAAUCCUCGCCCUUUAGGGCGGGGAGGAUGUCAACGGGUCUGAAACA
RNAcentral lists this unclassified non-coding RNA (111 nucleotides) under Halogranum amylolyticum. RNAcentral describes it as "HgcC family RNA". The record is from RNAcentral. Lineage: Archaea; Methanobacteriati; Methanobacteriota; Halobacteria; Halobacteriales; Haloferacaceae.